RNAcentral lists this long non-coding RNA (570 nucleotides) under Physcomitrium patens. RNAcentral's name for it is "long non-coding RNA (PPAT_LNC004533)". The record is from RNAcentral. Lineage: Eukaryota; Viridiplantae; Streptophyta; Bryopsida; Funariales; Funariaceae.
GGGGUCUCCGCGGCUCCUAGACAUGCUACACUCCACUUGACAGCUCCUGGUAGAGUGCAAUCUGGAUCAGGUGACAAAAAGAUGUGGAGACUCAACACUACGAUUCACUCUUCUCCAAGUUUGUCUUUAAAAUAUUCCGUGGAGUCACCUCCAUGUAAGUCCCUUCCACUUUUGUAGAAGCGGACGUGUUGUAGCCUGUUGAUUAAUUCCAAGAUGUAGUGACAGAAAACGCAGAAUAAAAUAUGUUCUAGCGUCUUCUCAUGGUACCCAGUGGCUUUCUUCUUUAGGCGUUGGUUAAUUUCAAUGCUGUGGUUGCUGGCUUCAAGAACAGGAGCCAGUCUCCUUUUUGUUGCUGUAGAUAUUUCCACAGCCUAGUACUAGAAAGUUUUCAUCGUCCUACAGAGUUGCUCACUGUGAAAUUAUUCACCUGAUUACCUGCGGUGUUCAGCUAUCGAUUCUUUUGAAGGAAAGGAAAGACCUCGGUUCGCCUCCAGCGACUUUGAAACAGCUCGUCGAUCUUUGGACAUGGCAUUAACAAGCGGCACCAGCAACAACACUAAACAGUCGAAG